RNAcentral lists this ribosomal RNA (152 nucleotides) under Cytospora chrysosperma. RNAcentral describes it as "Valsa sordida 5.8S ribosomal RNA". It matches the Rfam family "5.8S ribosomal RNA". Rfam says of the family: 5.8S ribosomal RNA (5.8S rRNA) is a component of the large subunit of the eukaryotic ribosome. Lineage: Eukaryota; Fungi; Ascomycota; Sordariomycetes; Diaporthales; Cytosporaceae. The record is from RNAcentral.
AACUUUCAACAACGGAUCUCUUGGUUCUGGCAUCGAUGAAGAACGCAGCGAAAUGCGAUAAGUAAUGUGAAUUGCAGAAUUCAGUGAAUCAUCGAAUCUUUGAACGCACAUUGCGCCCUCUGGUAUUCCAGAGGGCAUGCCUGUUCGAGCGU